This 505-nucleotide ribosomal RNA is filed under the name uncultured bacterium. Its description in RNAcentral is "partial 16S ribosomal RNA". The record is from RNAcentral.
GGAGUUAGCCGGUGCUUCUUCUGUGAGUGAUGUCCUUCCUGCCGGCUAUUAACCCGCAGGCCUUCUUCCUCACUGAAAGUGCUUUACAACCCGAAGGCCUUCUUCACACACGCGGCAUGGCUGGAUCAGGGUUGCCCCCAUUGUCCAAUAUUCCCCACUGCUGCCUCCCGUAGGAGUCUGGGCCGUGUCUCAGUCCCAGUGUGGCUGAUCAUCCUCUCAGACCAGCUACGGAUCGUCGCCUUGGUGAGCCGUUACCUCACCAACCAGCUAAUCCGACAUAGGCUCAUCCGAUAGCGCGAGGCCCGAAGGUCCCCCGCUUUCCCCCGUAGGGCGUAUGCGGUAUUAGCCUGGGUUUCCCCAGGUUAUCCCCCACUACCGGGCAGAUUCCUAUGCAUUACUCACCCGUCCGCCGCUCGCCACCAGGGAGCAAGCUCCCCGUGCUGCCGCUCGACUUGCAUGUGUUAGGCCUGCCGCCAGCGUUCAAUCUGAGCCAUGAUCAAACUCU